This 484-nucleotide ribosomal RNA is filed under the name uncultured bacterium. RNAcentral describes it as "partial 16S ribosomal RNA". It matches the Rfam family "Bacterial small subunit ribosomal RNA", at positions 30 to 507 of the family's 1533-position model. The record is from RNAcentral.
AUUGAACGCUGGCGGCAGGCCUAACACAUGCAAGUCGAGCGGAUGAAGGGAGCUUGCUCCUGGAUUCAGCGGCGGACGGGUGAGUAAUGCCUAGGAAUCUGCCUGGUAGUGGGGGAUAACGUCCGGAAACGGGCGCUAAUACCGCAUACGUCCUGAGGGAGAAAGUGGGGGAUCUUCGGACCUCACGCUAUCAGAUGAGCCUAGGUCGGAUUAGCUAGUUGGGGGGGUAAAGGCCUACCAAGGCGACGAUCCGUAACUGGUCUGAGAGGAUGAUCAGUCACACUGGAACUGAGACACGGUCCAGACUCCUACGGGAGGCAGCAGUGGGGAAUAUUGGACAAAGGGCGAAAGCCUGAUCCAGCCAUGCCGCGUGUGUGAAGAAGGUCUUCGGAUUGUAAAGCACUUUAAGUUGGGAGGAAGGGCAGUAAGUUAAUACCUUGCUGUUUUGACGUUACCAACAGAAUAAGCACCGGCUAACUUCGUG